Molecule: long non-coding RNA, 1296 nt
Filed under: Mytilus galloprovincialis (Mediterranean mussel)
Lineage: Eukaryota; Metazoa; Mollusca; Bivalvia; Mytilida; Mytilidae
Source: RNAcentral
UGGGCAAAAUAUACAUACAAAGACUGAUGUAACUUUUAUAUAAACAGAAUAACAUAUUUUUAAACAACCUCUAGAUGAUAAUCAGAACUUAAAUAAAGAUCUAUAUUUCCCAGUACUAUUGCCAACCAUUGUUAAUACAUGUCCUGGACCAAACACAUAUGGUUAAUUGAUUAAAGAAGAUGUGGUACUAAUGCCAAUGAGACAACUCUUCCUCUAAGUCACAAUUUGAAAAAGUAAACCAUUAUAGGUCAGAGUAUGGCAUUCAACAUGUAGCCUUAGUUCACAUCAAACAGCAAGCUAUUAAGUGCCCCAAAAAUGACUAGUGUAAAACCAUUCAAACAGGAAUUCAAAUUUAUUUGGAAAACAAAUCUAUAUGGUCUGGUCUGUCAACAUAAACCAAACUAAUAUAUAUACUCAUAUUUUUUUAACAUAUAAGUACCCGUGCAUCAAUAUGGUCAUGACCACAGGCAUGCAGUCCAAAAAGUGACAUGAUCCAGAACAUAUACAUAAGUAUGGCAUUCCCUUUAUUGCAAAAAUAUAAUUUUAUAAAUAAUACAAAAUAAUCAUUUGAGCUGCGUCGGAUAUAAAUCACCCAUGUGUAAAUGAAUAUCAUUACAUCUGUUAUCCUAUUUGAGGUUAAACAAAUUUCAAAGUCUGUACUUGUUUGAAAAUGUUAUAUGUUAAGGUGGUACCUAACACUUACACUAAAAUUAAUUUGGCUCUUAUAAUUUUCAUAAAAUUUUGUCAAAGUAUUUACUUUGACCCUUUAACAAAAAUAUAAAAAUUUCUAAAGCUUUGAACCAACUGUUUUGUCAGAAAAAUUACACUGGUCAUAUAGCAGUUUGACAAACACCAAUGUUGAUCAUUGAGAAGUUUAAUAUUCCCUUUACAACACAACGUAAUUAAAACAUUUAGCUGACUUUAUAGAGUUAUCUCCCUGUAGUGUUAGGUACCACCUUAAAAGAACUCUUCAAAACAGACCAAAACCUAUCUUUCAUUUCAUAUUUGAAUGUUCGAAAAUAAAUCAAAGUCUUAAAUAUGUACCUGUAUAUUUUCACUAGAAUAUGGUCGAUUUCUAUCUGAUGCAUUUCUUUCUAAAAAUAUUGUCAUGAACAAUUCACUGAUGUGUAUUAAGUCUGAAGUUGAUUAGCAAAAAACUUUUAAAACAGGUUUUUCACAAUUUUAUAUUAAGCACUUUAAUUAAAAGCAGAAGUGACUUUUGUUAUUUUUUCUCCGUUUGGAAAAACAUUUCUAUGGUUAAACCUUAAAUACUACAUUUUUGGGGGCAAAUUUCCA